RNAcentral lists this ribosomal RNA (245 nucleotides) under uncultured bacterium. RNAcentral describes it as "partial 16S ribosomal RNA". It matches the Rfam family "Bacterial small subunit ribosomal RNA", at positions 524 to 768 of the family's 1533-position model. The record is from RNAcentral.
UACGUAGGGGGCGAGCGUUGUCCGGAAUUACUGGGCGUAAAGAGCACGUAGGCGGUUCGUUAAGUCGGCUGUGAAAUUCCUCGGCCCAACCGAGGGGGGUCAGCCGAUACUGGCGGGCUGGAGGGAGGCAGGGGGAAGCGGAAUUCCCGGAGUAGUGGUGAAAUGCGUAGAUACCGGGAGGAACACCAGUGGCGAAGGCGGCUUCCUGGGCUUUUCCUGACGCUGAGGUGCGAAGGCGUGGGGAG